ACUCCACGAAGUUGGAUUCGCUAGUAAUCNCGCAUCAGCCAUGGCGCGGUGAAUACGUUCCCGGGCCUUGUACACACCGCCCGUCAAGCCAUGGGAGCCGGGGGCGCCUGAAGUCCGGGACCGCGAGGACCGGCCUAGGGCGAAACUGGUAACUGGGGCUAAGUCGUAACAAGGUACC
RNAcentral lists this ribosomal RNA (178 nucleotides) under uncultured bacterium. RNAcentral's name for it is "partial 16S ribosomal RNA". It matches the Rfam family "Bacterial small subunit ribosomal RNA", at positions 1315 to 1500 of the family's 1533-position model. The record is from RNAcentral.